CCAUUUAACUAAGCGCCAGAACUUAUGAAUUUCCUCACAUGAUAGCUUAAAUAUAACUUAGUUAUAUUUAAGGUUCAUAGAAAUAGGGUGAUUUAUGCAAAAUAUAGUUAAAGACUUAAGAGCAUUUAUACCUAUGGAGAGAAGUAUGUAAGUUGACGAGGAUGGGGAGUAUCGAAUCUUCGGCGGGUGCCCCACGGUAUCGCACUACCGUUAACGAUUGAUAAAAGCAGAAAGUGAUUUCUGUGACAAAACAAUCCGGUGUAAAAAC
Molecule: non-coding RNA, 268 nt
Filed under: Clostridium sp.
Lineage: Bacteria; Bacillati; Bacillota; Clostridia; Eubacteriales; Clostridiaceae
Description: GlcN6P sequence
Rfam family: glmS glucosamine-6-phosphate activated ribozyme aptamer
About the family: This entry contains a glucosamine-6-phosphate activated ribozyme that is found in the mRNA for GlmS.
Source: RNAcentral